This 472-nucleotide ribosomal RNA is filed under the name uncultured bacterium. Its description in RNAcentral is "bacterial SSU rRNA". It matches the Rfam family "Bacterial small subunit ribosomal RNA", at positions 355 to 825 of the family's 1533-position model. The record is from RNAcentral.
UGGGGAAUAUUGGACAAUGGGCGCAAGCCUGAUCCAGCAAUGCCGCGUGUGUGAAGAAGGCCUUCGGGUUGUAAAGCACUUUUAUCAGGAACGAAAAGCGUGGGGUUAAUACCUUUACGUGCUGACGGUACCUGAGGAAUAAGCACCGGCUAACUUCGUGCCAGCAGCCGCGGUAAUACGAAGGGUGCAAGCGUUAAUCGGAAUUACUGGGCGUAAAGCGUGCGUAGAUGGUUUGUUAAGUCGGAUGUGAAAGCCCCGGGCUCAACCUGGGAACUGCAUCCGAUACUGGCAGACUAGAGUGUGGUAGAGGAUGGCGGAAUUCCCGGUGUAGCGGUGAAAUGCGUAGAGAUCGGGAGGAACAUCCGUGGCGAAGGCGGCCAUCUGGACCAACACUGACGUUGAGGCACGAAAGCGUGGGGAGCAAACAGGAUUAGAUACCCGCGUAGUCCCUGAGCGGGCUGGCAAGGCGCAU